CGCUGGCGGCGUGCCUAACACAUGCAAGUCGAACGGGACUUAUUGGAAUGCGACUUCGGUCAAAUGAAUUUAAGUUUAGUGGCGAACGGGUGAGUAACGCGUGAGGAACCUGCCCUUCAGUGGGGGACAACAGUUGGAAACGACUGCUAAUACCGCAUAACAUGUACGGAUCGCAUGGUCUGUACAUCAAAGCUUUAUGUGCUGAAAGAUGGCCUCGCGUCUGAUUAGCUAGUUGGUGGGGUAACGGCCCACCAAGGCGACGAUCAGUAGCCGGUCUGAGAGGAUGAACGGCCACAUUGGGACUGAGACACGGCCCAGACUCCUACGGGAGGCAGCAGUGGGGGAUAUUGCACAAUGGAGGAAACUCUGAUGCAGCAACGCCGCGUGAGGGAAGACGGUCUUCGGAUUGUAGACCUAAGUUAUCAGGGACGAUUAUGACGGUACCUGAAGAGAAAGCUCCGGCUAACUACGUG
Molecule: ribosomal RNA, 473 nt
Filed under: uncultured bacterium
Lineage: Bacteria
Description: bacterial SSU rRNA
Rfam family: Bacterial small subunit ribosomal RNA
Source: RNAcentral